RNAcentral lists this transfer RNA (72 nucleotides) under Ovis aries (sheep). It matches the Rfam family "tRNA". Rfam says of the family: Transfer RNA (tRNA) molecules are approximately 80 nucleotides in length. Their secondary structure includes four short double-helical elements and three loops (D, anti-codon, and T loops). The record is from Rfam by way of RNAcentral. Lineage: Eukaryota; Metazoa; Chordata; Mammalia; Artiodactyla; Bovidae.
UCCCUUGUAGCUCAGUCGGUAAAGAAUCUGCCUGCAGUGCAGGAGACCUGGGUUCAAUCCCUGGAUUGGGAA